GGCUGGGCACGAGCAGGAAACGCACCUACAUGCUCAUUUGCAUACGGCGCGCGUUGAUUUACCCUCAUUCGCAAGUAGCUUCCGGCCUAGAGUCCGCGCGGAACGUGGCAGCCGUGACCCCGCCCCCUGCGUUGGGCGCGGCCCCCUGCAGCGGCUCUGUUGGGCUGGCACUGGCCGCACGCACCAUGUGCGAGGUAAACGCGGGGGGGGAAGGCCCGCACAUAGGCUGUCCCAUUGGGAGAUACCCCGCUGCUCUGAACUCAGGCCCGUCCCACCUAGAUCUCCCGGAUGUAGCCCCUAUUCCCUUCCGGUCGGGGUCAGCCUUGUGCUUCCGGGUAACGGGGACGCUGGACGCUAAGGUGGGGAGUCCGAGGUGGGACCUGGGCCCUGAUAUGGAUAACAGACGUGAUGAGAAAUGUGGAACACCAUGCGCUACAUCACAAGAAGAGAUGAAAGUCAGAGGGAAAGACAAGAGAAAGCGAAAACGCAGCAGAAGCAGAUCAUCAUCCAUUUCAUCAACAUCAUCUGCUAGUACUACUACUACAUCCUCCUCAUGCUCUUCAUCAAGAUCUUCCUCCUCUUCAAGCAGCAGAAGCAGUUCAAGUGGCAGAGAUUCUCCCAAGUCUAAAUCAAAGAAAAGGAAAAAAGAAAAACGCAACAAAAAGGUAAAUAUUUGCUGACAGAAAUAAAUAGCAAUCCAGGCAAAAAAAACUUAGCUGCUACUGUAUUCUGGUGUGAUUAAAACUCACCUGGGAAUCAAAAUAAGGAACAUAAUUGUUCAUUUAAAAGGAGACAUUUCUGUGGUGAUAUUAAAUGAAUUGAAAUUAAAAUGUACAAAUUGUUUCAGAGGAGAAAUUAAAUGGAGCUUCUUCUAGUAGUGUCUGGAAUGGGUGCAGGUAGAAUUUAAGGCACUCUGUGAGAGGAAUUGGGGACCCUGGUAUGAAUUAUAUUACUGACCUGCUGCCUCUGUCUAUGCAAUCACUGCACUACCGGUAUGAAACUUCUUGUUAAACACCUUGGGGACCUUGUGUGACUGGUGCUGUAUAAAACAGCAUCCAAUUCUACUGUGGUAGCUUUGCUGCAAUAAAAAUGCCAUAAUGGGAUUAUGAGUGAAGACCGUUGCAUCUAGUCUGCAUUUCUGCAACCAACUCCAUCAUUUGGCAGCACAAAAAGGAAUGAAUUCACCAUUAUGUUUAGAAAUGUAUUAGCUUCAGUUCCACCGAAUGUUUGUGGACAUCCGAAACAAAUGAUAACUUUUUGAAAGUACUGUGGAACAGACUACAGAUUUUCCUACAUUCUGUUUAAGCUUAAUAAGCUUGUCGUAUCCAUCAAGAAAAUAUAAGCAGGUUAGAUAUAAUAAUGUAAUCUGCAUUUUUACACUGUCUUAUACUUUUUAUUUCUAUCACUUUCUGCUCAGGGAUUUCAGAUAUUUAGUGAGGCAGGGAGGACCAGACCCCCCAGAAACGGGGUCAGGGAACCCACCACCACUUCUGUUUCCUGGGAUCAUGGGGGUCACUAGGCCUUAACAAACAUCAACCUCUUUGCUGCCCCCCCAUUAAUACAUCUCCCAGAGUUGGUCCAGGCGUGGGGAGCUAUGGCAAAAGUGACUUCCAGGACAGUAGCAGGAAAUUUGUGAGUUCAUACAUAUUUGGGUUGGGUUUUUUUCUCUUGUGCUUCUGUGAGAAGUAUGAGCUUUGCAUACGUGUCUUGUACUUGUAGAAGAGGAAAAAAGAGAACAAGCUGAAGAAAAAGAAAGAAAAGAAAAAAAAGAGAGAGAAACCAGGACCUGUCCAGCUUUCCAAGUACCUUAAAGACAAAAAGAAGACUGAAAACUACAGUAUGAUAACAGGGAAAAAAAUUAAGAUGAAAAUAAAGAAGACUAAAAAGGAUAAAGAGAGAGACCGAAACCGUGCUGAACUCCUUGAUUUCCUAAACUCCGCCUUGUAAUGGAAAGAGUGCCGAGCAAGGACGUGUACAUCUCCCAAGCCAACCGGUCCUCAUGCCUAGCAAAACACAAAGGAAACUCAGGGAAAAGGGCACCAUUUGUGACAAGACCAGACUCUUGUGCUGUGAAGACAAUCAGUGUCCUUUACAAUUGGCAAAAUGAAGAGUUACUGCUAACUUGUUUAUUAAUAUCCAUGUCGUCCUUUUGAGAUCCUAAAGUAAUAGCCAAGUUGCAAUGUUGUAUGAGUGCUUAAAAUGUGUUGCUGCUGCUGAUCUGAAGUGAAAUGACAUUAUUGUACUUCAGCGUAUCAAAUACAUCCCAGAGCUGCAUGCAGAGCACACUCAUAAUUUCAAAUGUCUUUAACGUUUAUGGUAGCUGAAGCAUAGCAGUGUACUAGCAGGUCAUCUGCUUGAAAAAUUAGGUGUUUCUGUAUAUAUCUUUCUUAGUGGUGAUUUUAUUUGUUCUAAAGACCACGAUGACUCUUUGUGAAUAGUACAUCUACAGAAAUGAAUAUCUUUUUUAACAGUCAUCUUCAAUAUGUUGCUUUCUCAAAAAGUUUGAGACUCAGCCUUCUCACGGGUGUUUAUUACCAUUUGUCAAAGCUUGGUAACAAAUUUAUAAUUAAAAUAUUCUAGAGUAAUAAAAACAUUAGCUGAAUAUUUUUAUUCAGAA
RNA transcript from Terrapene triunguis (Three-toed box turtle), 2617 nucleotides. It is a transcript of the gene named arginine/serine-rich protein PNISR-like, with no coding region annotated. The transcript is spliced from 6 exons. The record is from RefSeq and is a predicted model, not a curated record. Lineage: Eukaryota; Metazoa; Chordata; Testudines; Emydidae.